CCUACGGGUGGCAGCAGUGGGGAAUAUUGCACAAUGGGCGCAAGCCUGAUGCAGCCAUGCCGCGUGUAUGAAGAAGGCCUUCGGGUUGUAAAGUACUUUCAGCGGGGAGGAAGGGAGUAAAGUUAAUACCUUUGCUCAUUGACGUUACCCGCAGAAGCAGCACCGGCUAACUCCGUGCCAGCAGCCGCGGUAAUACGGAGGGUGCAAGCGUUAAUCGGAAUUAUUGGGCGUAAGGCGCACGCAGGCGGUUGGUAAAGUUAGAUGUGAAAUCCCCGGGCUAAACCUGGGAACUGCAUCUGAUACUGGCAAGCUGGAGUGUGGUAGAGGGGGGUAGAAUGCCAGGUGUAGCGGUGAAAUGCGUAGAGAUC
Molecule: ribosomal RNA, 368 nt
Filed under: uncultured bacterium
Lineage: Bacteria
Description: partial 16S ribosomal RNA
Rfam family: Bacterial small subunit ribosomal RNA
Source: RNAcentral